RNAcentral lists this ribosomal RNA (232 nucleotides) under uncultured bacterium. Its description in RNAcentral is "partial 16S ribosomal RNA". It matches the Rfam family "Bacterial small subunit ribosomal RNA", at positions 122 to 354 of the family's 1533-position model. The record is from RNAcentral.
CAACCUGCCUUUCAGAGGGGAUAACGAUUGGAAACGAUCGCUAAUACCGCAUAACAUUGCAGAGCCGCAUGGUUUUGCAAUCAAAGGAGCAAUCCGCUGAGAGAUGGGCUCGCGUCCAAUUAGGUAGAUGGCGGGGUAGAGGCCACCAUGCCGACGAUUGGUAGCCGGACUGAGAGGUUGAACGGCCACAUUGGGACUGAGACACGGCCCAGACUCCUACGGGAGGCAGCAG